GCUGUUUCCACCCGCCGGGAAGGAAGUCGGCUUCCCACGCCUGAAGGGGUUGUGCUUGGGCAGCCCGUACAUCAGGAAUCAUCAACAGGGAGCCAGGGAUGGUUCCUCAAAACAGCAUGUGACAGGAGCAGAGGGAGACGCUGGGAAUUCAUCCCAGGGAACAUGUCGGGGUGCACUGGACAGGGAGCCCAGACUGGUCACUCAGGACAUUUGCAAGCAGCAGGGCACUGGGACAGCUGCUGUAGGGAAAGGAAACUCAUUCCCCUUCCAGCCCGAGUCCAUAACAUGCUCCCAGCUGCCUGCCAGACCCACCCUGUGCUCUGGAGCUGCCUGGUGUUUGCCUGGAACCACAGGCAGGCCCUUCUGGAACUGCAGCAUUUUGGAUUCUGGGUUAGGAAGAUCUCCCUGCCUUCAGGGGAAUGAAAAGGGCUGGUCCUCCGCACCUCUCACUUUAUCAGGAGGACUGGCAGGGAAGGCGCUUCCUGCCGGCGCAACAGAGCUGCAGCCCGUCCUGAAUCUUUUCUGUUUUCUCCCUUGGCAGAUUUGCUGUUUUUAACUGGAUUGGCCUCAUCCGUCUUCAUUUUGUCAGAGCUCCUCAAACUAUGUGAAAAAUACUGUUGCAGCCCCAAGAGAGUCCAGAUGCACCCUGAAGAUGUGUAGUGGACCGCACUCCGCGGCACCUUCCCUAAUCAUCUCGAUCUGGUUGUGACUGUGGCCCCUGCCGUGUCUCCUCGUCAGGGGAGACUUUUAGGAGGCCGCAGCCUUCCAUCACCGGAUCAGUUUUUCCUCUUAGGAAAGCUGCAGGAACCUCGUGGGCUCCAGGGACCCAGGCCCACAUCCAUCCAGCGUUCCCGCUGGCUGUGGGACAGACAGGGAGGGGCCUGUACAGAAACACCACACUGUUUAUUAAAUCACAAUGAUUUUUAUU
This 928-nucleotide long non-coding RNA is filed under the name Homo sapiens (human). RNAcentral's name for it is "HSALNT0234504". Lineage: Eukaryota; Metazoa; Chordata; Mammalia; Primates; Hominidae. The record is from RNAcentral.